Camelina sativa (false flax) is the source of this 1117-nucleotide long non-coding RNA. RefSeq lists it as uncharacterized. Lineage: Eukaryota; Viridiplantae; Streptophyta; Magnoliopsida; Brassicales; Brassicaceae. The record is from RefSeq and is a predicted model, not a curated record.
CUUAUUUGAGAACUGUUUUUUGUGUUGUUCUUAUGCGACGUGGCAUUGUCUCAUUGAAAACAAUUUUUGCAACGGAGAAAACUUUUCAUUCCUCAUUUUGUUCGAUAUCGUGACAAACUCCUUGUGAAUUUGGAAGAAAUUUGUUCCAAAAUUCAGUUGCAAAUGGAGGAGAAUGAUUUAACUUUUGGUGACCUCCGACUGUUCGAACCGUUACUCACCACCUCCACCGACGGCUGAUCUCAACGGCGACUCUGGUUCAGGUAAUUGUGACUCGUCUCCUUCCGAUGGCGAAUUGAUUUUUUUUCUGGGUUAUCGUUGAAUGAGGAGGUUUACGCUACGGUUUCUGGGUUAUCGUUGAAUUGAUCCACCGACGGCGGAUCUCAACGUUCGUUGUCUCCGGAGGAUGCGGCUAAGGAAGAAGAGGUUUACGCUACGGUUGUUAAGUUGGAGGAAGUUCACGAGGGAUACGAGAAGCUCUUGAGGGAUUUGGAGGAGGAGCUUUGUAGGGUUUAUGGUUUGGCUGUUGAUGAGUCGUUGAACGGUGGGGAUGAAGUGAAUGAGGAGGUUUUAGCUGUGAUUAAGGGAGCUGAAGAUGGUGGAGUCGUUGAAAGGAUUGAUCUUUCUAAUCGUCAGCUUAAGCUUAUUCCUGAUGCUUUAGGGAAGAUCGUUGGUUUGGUUUCCUUGGAUCUCUCUCGCAAUAAUCUCAAGCUCAUUGAUGAAGAUAUGCCUGAAGUGCCUAAGACAGAGCUCGUUCCUGAAGAACCUGAUAAAUUGGAUCUCCCUGAUGUGCCAACAAAAGCAUCGAUCGCUUCCAAUGCAGAAAACACUCCAACAAAGAGAAAAGUUCUUGAAGAACCUUUGGAAGUUUGAUUUAGAAGUGAAGAAUCUGAUCGACUACUACAUAGCCAUGGGUUUAUAUAAAUCAUUCUUUGGAAACUUUUGCUUCUGGGCUAAUGAAAGCUCCUUUGUGUAUUCUCUUCUUACUUCUGCAGCUUGUAAAGUAUUGGUUGAACUCUGAAAUGUUUUGGUUGUUUAUGAACUCAUCUCAGAGUCUUUGACCUGAACAUAUGAAAGUUUGAAUGACGUUAACACUUAGUGGGAUCAUAGAAUUUUGUUU